GAAUUUCUAGAACAGGAAUGACAAGAAUUAGAUGAUCCAGAACAGAAGGUUCAUGUAAGGGGCUGAAUCAUAUGAAACUGCCAGCCUUCAACCAUUUUUGAUUCACAUCAAUGUCAAUGUUACAUAGUUCAACCUAAUAUAAGCAAUGCUGGAAUGAAUUACCUUAUAUAUUUGCAAUUUUGCACAGAGAAUCAGGAACCAGGGCUGAUGCAUGACAUCUUGUAUAUAUAAACCUUUAAAAUCUAUCUGCAGAGGACAUUUGAGACUAAAAUAGAGUUCCUAAGAAAUACUGCGACACAGUUUUUGCUCCUUUCUUCCACUGCCUGUUGCGGGAAGUCAGGGACCCCAAACGGAGGGACCGGCUGAAGCCAUGACAGAAGAAGGUGGAUUGUGAAGAUUUCAUGGACAUUUAUUAGUUCCCCCAAUUAAUACUUUUGUAAUUUCUUAUGCCUGUCUUUACUGCAAUCUCUAAACAUAAAUUGUGAAGAUUUCACGGACACUUAUCACUUCCCCAAUCAAUACCACUGUGAUUUCCUAUGCCUGUCUUUACUUUAAUCUCUUAAUCCUGUCAGCUGAGGAGGAUGUAUGUUGUCUCAGGACCCUGUGAUAAUUGCGUUAACUGCACAAAUUGUAGAGCAUGUGUGUUUGAACAAUAUGAAAUCUGGGCACCUUGAAAAACGAACAGGAUAACAGCAAUGUUUAGGGAACAAAUUCCAACCGCCGGUGAGCCGGGUGGAACAGAGCCAUAUUUCUCUUCUUUCAAAAGCAAAUGGGAGAAAUAUUGCUGAAUUCUUUUUCUCAGCAAGGAACAUCCCUGAGAAAGAGAAUACGCCCCUGAGUGUGGGUCUCUAAAAUGGCCCCCUUGGGUGUGGCCGUUUUCUAUGGUCGAAACUGUAGGGAUGAAAUAAACCCCAGUCUCCCAUAGCGCUCCCAGGCUUAUUAGGAAGAGGAAAUUCCCACCUAAUAAAUUUUGGUCAGACCGGUUGCUCUCAAACCCUGUCUCCUGAUAAGAUGUUAUCAAUGACAAUGGUGCCCGAAACUUCAUUUGCAAUUUUAAUUUCGCCCCAGUCCUGUGGUCCUGUGAUCUCGCCCUGCCUCCAUUUGCCUUGUGAUAUUCUAUUACCUUGUGAAGUACGUGAUCUCUGUGAACCACACCUAUUUGUACACUCCCUCCCCUUUUGAAAAUCCCUAAUAAAAUCUUGCUUGUUUUGCGGCUUGUGGGGCAUCACGGAACCUACCGACAUGUGUUGUCUCCCCCGGACACCCAGCUUUAAAAUUUCUCUCUUUUGUACUCUGUCCCUUUAUUUCUCAACCCAGCUGAUGCUUAGGGAAAAUAGAAAAGAACCUACGUGACUAUCAGGGCAGGUUCCCUGAUAACUGUCCAAUCUCUCCACCUCACCACUUACCUCACCUCUACCCUCUACCCACCACCUCAAAUGGAAGAGCCAUGGGAUAAUCUGAUUAGAGCAUUAGGAAGAGGGACUGAGCAUGGAUGGAUAGCACAGUCUCUCAUAGAGCCUGCCUUCCUGUAUCCAAGAGAAAACUGUUCCUGGCAGAAAGACCAGCAAGGAUAGUCUCUGAAAUGGGAGGAAGCUGAAAGAUUUGAGAAACAAUCGGGAGGCCAGCAUGGCUGCAGCAAAAACCAACGGGACAUGAGUAGGCACUGAAGUCAGCAAAUGAAUGCUUUGUCUCUGCAGAUUGAAUGGACUUUGGCUUUCCACACCCCAACCCCCACCACCACCCAGCGACUUGGAACACCAUCACAGUUUUUUUUUAAUUAUUUUUAAUUGAAAAUAAUUGUAAAUAUUUAUCUUAUAAAACAUAAUAUUUUGAAAGAUGCAUGCAUAGUGAAUGGGCUUAACUGUGCUAAUUAACAUAUACAUUAUUUAACAUAUUUAUUUUUUGUGAUGAAAAUAUUUAAAAUCUACUCCUUUGGCAAUUUUCAGGAAUACAGUACAUUUUUGUUUAUUGUAGUUAUCAUGUUGUCCAAUAGAUCACUUGAACAUUUCCCCUCCUAUCUAACUGAAAUUUUUUGUUCUUUGACCAAAGACUCCCACCCCACUCCAGCCUCUGGUAACCACCAUUUUACUGUCUGCUUCUGUGAGUUGAACUUUUUCAGAUACCACAUAUAAGUAAUGUCAGCCAUCACGAUUUUGAGGAGGGGAGCGACAGGGUGAGAUUUACACCUCACCAAGCUCACUCUGGUUGCUAGAUUGGGCUUAGUAUUACAAGUCAGAGGUAAUGAAAGAUUCACCCAGGUGAAGGUAAAGAGAUAAGGAGAUAAGAGACAAGAAGUGGUCAAAUUCUGUAUAUAGAAAUAAAAGGGAGAGUUUUCAGAAUUUUCUAUGUUUUGAAAGUAGGUCCCUUUUACCUUUCUCUUGCUUCCAGAUUGUAUCACAGACCAUUAGGUUAAACAAAUUAUCCAUUCACAUUCAAAGAUAAUGCAAAGGCAACAUUCAGGAUUCCAGAUAUUUUUCACUUUUUUUCUGCAGUCACUGAGGUUUUAUGUGACUAGUCUUAUGUAUUAGUUGGUUCCAUCACCCCACUUCCCCUCCCACCCACCCCCAUCCACACACAGCACAACAAUGAAAAAAAAAAUCUGUUUGCCAGCAUAGAACUGUGAAGCAGUAACUCACAUCUAAUAACCAUGGAAGCCUAAUGACACCAAAAAGGUCUGAAGGGGAUCCUCAAAGGAUUGCAAAUUGGUAUGAACAUGUAUUUCCCAGUAGGAACGUCAUGUUAUUUAGUUUUACAUACAAUUAUCUGCAUUUCUCAGUGUUAAAGACUUUGAAAUAUAAAAUAAAUCAUGGCUCAAAUGUAUAGGCCUGUAUUAGAUCUCAAAGGAUAUAAAACUUCUACUAUAAACGUGGUAGAAAUGUUAUCUUGUAUCUACCUCUGUCCACCCUUCUACCUCCUAAAUUACAGUGAGCAAUUGGAUCUGCCAGGGGUAAGAAACGAAAGCAUUUGUGCUUGAAGGGUUCUGGUUGCCUAAGACAGACAAGACAUGAGUAGGCUUUCAGUACUGCAUAUUUCUGUGGCUUCCCAUGACAAUCUGUAGAGCAAACAACAACUAUGACACUACAGUGUUCUGGAAAUUGGUUAGAUUAGAGAAAAAACAAAACUCUUUAGGUUUCAAAUUAAUUACCUACAUAUAUUCUGUGCAUCCCAUUUUUCAGAUGAAAAGAGGUAGAGGAUAAAUAAUCUACCCUGGAUCACACGGUCAGUUUGUAACAGUAAGAAUCCUUAAUUCCUGUUUUUUUUUUUCUUCCUCACAAUUGAAUACUGUUUUCACGAUGACAUAAUGUACAGCCUUAACCAGAGGAAAGGAUUUCAAUACUAUAUGUGCUUCUGUGUUUAAUAGUCUAUAGUAUAAUAUAGAAUUAUGCCAUUUUGAAAUGGCUUUGGUGUAUCACCACACCGUUCUUUUAUAUAAAAUUAAAUGAAAUACUGGUAAAUUAAAGAGGUAUUAGGUUGGUGCAAAAGUAACCGCAGUUUUUUUUUUUUUUUGCCAUACUUUUAAUGGCAAAAACCACAAUUACUUUUGCACCAACAUAAUAGUACAGCAGUGUUUAAGAGUAUGACAUUUACAUUUAAAUCUCAGAAGCUUACUUACUGCAUACAUGACAUUGGUCUAGUUAUUUCAACUCUGUAUGUUUUAAGUUGUUUUUCUUCUAUAAAACAGAGAAAUUAAUGGCAUUUACGUCACAUUUGGCUAUGAGGAUGAACUAAAUAAAAACAUGUAAAUCAUUUAAUAUAGUCUCUGUGCAUAGAAUGCAUUAAAUAAUGUUAAUAAUAUUAUUAUGAAGUUCAUUCUACUGAGCUGACAAUGAGAAACACCCUUUAUUACAUUAAUAUUAGUUUUAUUCUACACAUAGAUAUUUUGUGUUGAAGAAAAGCAACUUUUAAAGUCAGAAAAUAAGGCAAUACAUGGCAAAAUGCUUAGAAGCUAAUGUGUGUCCUAGAGGUGUUGAGGUUUGUUGUAUUAUAAAUAAUACUGUUCACAUUAUCCCUCCUG
Molecule: long non-coding RNA, 4015 nt
Filed under: Homo sapiens (human)
Lineage: Eukaryota; Metazoa; Chordata; Mammalia; Primates; Hominidae
Description: HSALNT0208775
Source: RNAcentral